CCGUUAGACUUGAUCUACACUAUUGAAAGUACUUGGAAACUAAAUUUCAUAAUUUUUCGGCGUCAUUUACCAAUCAAACGAGUAGUCUAAAAAUGAACGGCUGAAAAUAAAAAUCUUAUAAAAAACAGUGAUAAAGAAUUCGAAUUUCAAAUCGGAAGUAUUGGUCUUGCUAUUGAUGUUAAGUAGAAUUUUCUAUUAAAUUUUCAUCUAAUUUGGAUACUUCUACACCGUUGAACUUAAAAACGCAUCAUAUCUACCAUUAAAAUUGUUAAUUUUGGAACCUUUUGAUCACUAGCCAAAUGAUGUCGAAAAAUUAUGAAAUUUAGUUUUCAAAUAUUUUUAAUAGUAUAGAUCAAGUCUAACGGAGCCGAUCGUCGAUUUGAAAGCCGCAUCAUUGAAAACAACUUGGUAGCACGGAGACCUCUGUGCUACCGAUAGUAUACCAGCCUAGCUCUAUAUAUAUAUAUAUAUAAUCUGGCUACUAUACUCUUAUAAGUACGAUCGCCCUCGUAUUCAUAAGUCGUUUUCGAUAAUAGAGCUUUCGAAUCGACGAUCCAUGCCGUUAAACGUUAUUUACAGCAUUUAAAACUUCUAGAAAUCAAAUUUUAUAAUUUUUCGAUAUCAUUUACCUUACAAUCAAAAGCUCACAAAAUUGACAAUUUUUAACUGCCGGUAUGAGAUAUUUGCUAGUUUAAUGGUGGAAAAGAAUCGGAAUAGGUUGAAUUUUUGAUAGAAAAUUCUAUUCACUAUCUAAAUAAAGAUCAAUAACUCCGAUCUUAUAUUGAAGGAUCUGAUCAUCCAUUUUUAGGAUGUCAUUCGAUUUCGACCGUUCAUUUUAUACCCACUUGAUGGAUUUUAUUAUGAUUUUGAAAAAUCACGAAAUUUAUUUUCUAGAAGUUUCAAAUACUCUAGAUCAUAUUUAACGGAGUGGAUUAUCGAUUCGGAAGCUCCAUCAUUGAAAACAGCUUAUGAGUAUUAAGAACUCUAUACUCAUAAGAGUAUAGUAGCCAUAGCCUAUAUAUAUAUAUAUAUAUAUAUAUAUAGAGUAGGGCUACUGUACUCUUACGAGUAUAGAACCCUUUGUACACAUAAGUUGUUUUGACUAAUGGAGUUUCUGAAUCGACCAUCCAUUCCAUUAAAUAGGAUAUAGAAAAAAAUAAAUUUCAUAAUUUUUUAAAAUUAUAAUAAAGUCCAUCAAACAGAUAUAAAAUUAGCGGUCAAAAUCAAAAGACGUCCUAAAACUAGAUGUUCGGAUCCUUCAAAUUAAGAUCGGAGAUAUUGAUCUUUAUCUAGAUAGUAAAUAGAAUUUUUUUAUAAAAAAUUCAACUAAUUCUGAUUAUUUCACACCGUUAAACUAGCAAAUAUUCUAUACUGGCCGUUAAAGAUUAUCAAUUUUGAGAUUUUUUGGCAUAAGAUAAAUAAUGUCAAAAAAUUAUAAAAUUUAAUUUCUAAAAAUUUUAAAUACUCAAGAUAAUAUUUAACGGUAUUAAUCGUCGAUUCUAAAGCUCCAUCGUUGAAAAUGACUUAUGAGUGUGAAGUGAUGUGCAGUUAGGAUAAUAAUGAUCUAUGGUUAUGGUGAUAGUGGUCUCCUAGGGUUGAGUGAGUGGUUGGUUGAAUAGUAUGAUCUAACGGAUGGAAAUGGUUAAAAGGAUAAAUCUAAUGGUCCAAAAUUUAUAAAGAAAUCUAUACUGAUGAAAAUAUAUAAAGUGGCCAUACUCUCUCUCUCUCUCUCUCUCUCUCUCUCUCUCUCUCUCUCUCUCUCUCUAUAUAUAUAUAUAUAUAUAUAUAUAUAUAUAUAUAUAC
Molecule: long non-coding RNA, 1803 nt
Filed under: Ananas comosus (pineapple)
Lineage: Eukaryota; Viridiplantae; Streptophyta; Magnoliopsida; Poales; Bromeliaceae
Description: long non-coding RNA (ACOM_LNC029550)
Source: RNAcentral